Molecule: ribosomal RNA, 332 nt
Filed under: uncultured eukaryote
Lineage: Eukaryota
Description: partial 18S ribosomal RNA
Rfam family: Eukaryotic small subunit ribosomal RNA
Source: RNAcentral
CCCUUAGAUGUUCUGGGCUGCACACGUGCUACACUGGCAGGUUCAGCGAGCUUCAUGCCCUGAUCUGAAAGGAAUGGGAAAUCUUUUCAAAACCUGCCGUGCUUGGGAUAGAUGUUUGCAACUAUUCAUCUUCAACGAGGAUUGCCUUGUAAGCGCACGUCAUCAGCGUGCAUUGAAUACGACCCUGUAUUCUGUACACACCGCCCGUCGCUCCUACCGAUUGAAGUUUUCGGUGAGUUGACAGGAGGAUUUUUUUGAAACUGGUUCGCCAGUGGAUUUUAGAUCCAAAUGCCAACGAAUCGAUGGCUUUAGAGGAAGGAGAAGUCGUAACA